GCUGGGCGCAGUGGCACGCGCCUGUAGUCCCAGCUACUUGGGAGGCUGAAGCUGCAGGAUUGCUUGAGCUCAGGAGUUCUGGGCUGCAGUGCGCUAUGCCGAUCAGGUGCCUGCACUAAGUUCGGCAUCAAUAUGGUGACCUCCCGGGAGCAGGGGACCACCAGGUUGCCUAAGGAGGGGUGAACCGGCCCAGGUCGGAAACGGAGCAGGUCAAAACUCCCGUGCUGAUCAGUAGUGGGAUUGCGCCUGUGAAUAGCCACUGUACUCCAGCCUCGGCAACAUAGCAACACCACGUCUCA
Molecule: signal recognition particle RNA, 299 nt
Filed under: Bison bison bison
Lineage: Eukaryota; Metazoa; Chordata; Mammalia; Artiodactyla; Bovidae
Description: Metazoan signal recognition particle RNA (ENSBBBG00000002679.1)
Rfam family: Metazoan signal recognition particle RNA
About the family: The signal recognition particle (SRP) is a universally conserved ribonucleoprotein. It is involved in the co-translational targeting of proteins to membranes. The eukaryotic SRP consists of a 300-nucleotide 7S RNA and six proteins: SRPs 72, 68, 54, 19, 14, and 9.
Source: RNAcentral